AAAUGCCGAAAUAGAAACUCUUCCGAAGGCAGAGGGAGCAGAGUGGGCGGAGCUAGCGCCAAAGGAAGGCGGCCGGAAGUCAAGUCCCGGGCGCAAGGGUCCCGUGGUUGGUCCGGAGCACGCUGUGCAGCAGGCCCCGCAAUGGCGUUUCUGGACAGCUGGAAGUACAGUUGACCCUGAAACAAUACGGUUUUGGCCCUGUGUAUCCCGGGGUUUCACAUGUAUGGAUGCAACCAAAACUAUUUUUGAUCCAGGAUUUGGAAUCCUGGGAUGUGGAUGGGGAGGUUUUCUUUCUGCCUCGCAUGCCACCUGGCAGCGCCGAGCUGAUCAGCUGAUCGAGAAGGGACGUUUUCAGUGGUGACACGCCCAGUUGGAAGAAUGCACAAGAGGCUGACAUGAGAAUGAAAUGGCAGGCACCGACUUUAUUGUGGGGGGCGCACUUCUGUUGCAGGAAGUGCAGUCUAUUGUGGUGAGCGGGCUUCUGCUUCUGCUCUUCUUCUGCUCCCCUUUCUUUGGCUCCCCUUCUGCUCCCCAGGGGACCACGUGGCUCCACACAUAUCAGAGUACAAUAGUGGCAUUCAACCACUCAUGUGCAAUACAAUAAGCUAAAUUAUGUUUACAUAUUUUAGGCGCAGGCACCCUACUACACUAAUGUAACAUUCUAAAUCUAGGGUCUUAUUCCUAAAUGCAAACCUGGGUCACAGCCAGAUCUGGGACCAGCCAGGCCUGGGACUCACACAACCUUUUCUCAGUUUCUUUUGCUGAUUCUUCCUUAUCUCAUUUUUAACAUUGGAGAGCCCUGAGGUUCAGUUUUGGACCUCUUUUCUGUAUACACUCAUUCUGAUGAUCUCAUCCGAUAUCGUGGCUUUAAAUCCUCUCUUGGUUGACAACACUAAAUGUUAUCUCCAGCCUGGACCUCUCCUCAAACUCUCACCAUGUUGAUAUCUCUACUUGUAUAUCUAAUAGAUGCCUUACACUUAAUAUGUCUCAGAUAGAACUCCUGACGUUUUCGCCCCCAACUGGAUCACUCAAAGUGCUCUCCAUGUCAGCAAAUGGCAUCUCCAUUCUUCCUAUUGCUCAGGCCAAAAUUUACCUUCCACUCUUUCUCUCAAAUUCCACAUUUUAUUUGUCAGCAAAUCUGAUCGGUUUGCCUUUGAAAUUUUUCCAGAAUCUGAUUACUUCUCAUCACUUCUACCCUCUCUCGCCUAGAUUAUUUUAAGGCUCCUCACUGGUUUCCCUGCUUCUGCCCUGGCUUCCCUACAAAAGCCAGAGUGAUCCUUUCAAGACCUAAAUCAGAUCAUGUCCUUCUUCUGCUCAGCACCCUCCAAUGGCUCCCUAUCGCUCUCCUAAUAAAAAGUUAAAGUAUUUGCAAUGGCCUAAAAGGCUCAACCUGGUUGGACCCCAUUACUUUUCUAAUCUAACCUCCUGUUGCUCUCCUCCUAACUCACGUUGCUGAAGCCACACUGAUCUCUUUGCUCUUCCUCAAAUACGGCAGACACAGUACUUUGCAUAGCCUUAGCACUAGGUGUUCUGUCUGGGACUCCAUUUCCCCAUGGCUGAUUUCCUCACCUUCUAAAAGGCAAGGCUCAAAUGUUGCCACUUCAGAGACACCACUUGCUGAACACUCUGUAUCCCCCUUCUUGGCUUUGUUUUUCUCAAUAACACUUAUCACCUUCUAACAUGCCACAACACUUAUUUGUUUAUUGUCUGAUUCCCCACUGGCAUUAAGCUCAAUGAGGACAGAAUUUUUUUUAACUGUUUAGUUUGAAAUAAUCAUAGAUUCACAAACAGUCACAAAGAAAUAUACAAAGAAGUUCUGUGCACCCUUCACCCAGCCUUCACCAGUAUUAACGCCUUACAUAAUUAUCGUACAAUAUCAAAACUAGGAAAUAUACGAUAGAACAAUUCGAAGAGUUUAUUCAGAUUACACCAGUUAGGCAUGCACUCGUUGGUGUGUGUGUGUAGCUCUGUAGUUUUAUCAUGUGUAGCUUUGUGGAACUACCACCACAAUAAAAUACAGAACUGUACCAUUACCACAACACUCCAUUAAGGGAGAGAUUUUUUUUUUCUGUCAGAUUUGUUUGCUCCUGUACCCCCAGCAUUAAGAGCCAAGCCUGACAUGUAGUCGGCCUUGAUAUCUGUUGAACUGAAAAGGCACUAGAGUGCAGUGUUGACAGCAUUGACUCUGAAGCCAGGAAUAUCUGGGUUUGAGUAUCAGCUGUGCAACAUACUAGCUAUGUGACCUUGAAUACAUAACUUAGCCCA
Long non-coding RNA from Pteropus alecto (black flying fox), 2265 nucleotides. RefSeq lists it as uncharacterized. The record is from RefSeq and is a predicted model, not a curated record. NCBI's taxonomy places the organism in Eukaryota, Metazoa, Chordata, Mammalia, Chiroptera, Pteropodidae. The transcript is spliced from 2 exons.